Molecule: ribosomal RNA, 253 nt
Filed under: uncultured bacterium
Lineage: Bacteria
Description: partial 16S ribosomal RNA
Rfam family: Bacterial small subunit ribosomal RNA
Source: RNAcentral
UACAGAGGUCUCAAGCGUUGUUCGGAUUCAUUGGGCGUAAAGGGUGCGUAGGUGGCGAGGUAAGUCGGAUGUGAAAUCUCAGGGCUCAAUCCUGAAACUGCAUUCGAUACUGCCUUGCUCGAGGACUGGAGAGGAGAUUGGAAUUCACGGUGUAGCAGUGAAAUGCGCAGAUAUCAGGAAGAACACCCGUGGCGAAGGCGGCUCUCUGGGACGGUACUGACGCUGAGACGCGAAAGCGUGGGGAGCGAACAGG